Molecule: ribosomal RNA, 450 nt
Filed under: uncultured bacterium
Lineage: Bacteria
Description: partial 16S ribosomal RNA
Rfam family: Bacterial small subunit ribosomal RNA
Source: RNAcentral
AUGCACGCUGGCGGCGUGCCUAACACAUGCAAGUCGAGCGGCAGCGAGGGGUGCUUGCACCCUGUCGGCGAGCGGCGGACGGCUGAGUAACGCGUGGGAACGUGCCCCAAAGUGAGGAAUAACUGCCCGAAAGGGUAGCUAAUACCGCAUAUUAUCUUCGGAUCAACGGAUUUAUCCGCUUUGGGAGCGGCUCGCGUCGGAUUAGGUAGUUGGUGAGGUAAUGGCUCACCAAGCCGACGAUCCGUAGCUGGUCUGAGAGGAUGACCAGCCAGACUGGAACUGAGACACGGUCCAGACUCCUACGGGAGGCAGCAGUGAGGAAUCUUCCACAAUGGGCGAAAGCCAGAUGGAGCAACGCCGCGUGCAGGACGAAGGCCUUCGGGUUGUAAACUGCUUUUAUAAGUGAGGAAUAUGACGGUAACUUAUGAAUAAGGAUCGGCUAACUACGUG